RNAcentral lists this non-coding RNA (267 nucleotides) under Gloeochaete wittrockiana. Lineage: Eukaryota; Glaucocystophyceae; Gloeochaetales; Gloeochaetaceae. The record is from RNAcentral.
ACUCACGUCCGGCGGAAAUAGCCUAACCGCGAUAUCAUCAUAGUUUCGCGCUUCUUCGGCCGCGCAACGAGGAGAUAAUGCGCCGUGUCUUCUGCCAUGGCUGGGCUAUCGGUGGCAGACUGGUCUAUAAAUGAAGUCGAAAUUUGGCUGGAAAGGACAUUCGCAGGUGUUUCCUGCCGAUAAACCCGUGACGCUGCCAACGAUCUAACAUUGCAGUGCAGGCGUUGACGAAACAUUUGACGUUGACGAAACGAAAUGUCGGUUUCG